Molecule: ribosomal RNA, 258 nt
Filed under: Klebsiella pneumoniae
Lineage: Bacteria; Pseudomonadati; Pseudomonadota; Gammaproteobacteria; Enterobacterales; Enterobacteriaceae
Description: partial 23S ribosomal RNA
Rfam family: Bacterial large subunit ribosomal RNA
Source: RNAcentral
GCGAGGCCGAAAGGCGUAGUCGAUGGGAAACAGGUUAAUAUUCCUGUACUUGGUGUUACUGCGAAGGGGGGACGGAGAAGGCUAUGUUAGCCGGGCGACGGUUGUCCCGGUUUAAGCAUGUAGGCUGAUUGUCCAGGCAAAUCCGGAUAAUCAAGGCUGAGGUGUGAUGACGAGGCACUACGGUGCUGAAGUAACAAAUGCCCUGCUUCCAGGAAAAGCCUCUAAGCAUCAGGUAACAUCAAAUCGUACCCCAAACCG